CCUACGGGUGGCAGCAGUGAGGAAUAUUGGUCAAUGGACGAGAGUCUGAACCAGCCAAGUAGCGUGAAGGAUGCCUGCCCUAUGGGUUGUAAACUUCUUUUAUAUGGGAAUAAAACGUUCCACGUGUGGGAUUUUGUAUGUACCAUAUGAAUAAGGAUCGGCUAACUCCGUGCCAGCAGCCGCGGUAAUACGGAGGAUCCGAGCGUUAUCCGGAUUUAUUGGGUUUAAAGGGAGCGUAGGUGGAUUGUUAAGUCAGUUGUGAAAGUUUGCGGCUCAACCGUAAAAUUGCAGUUGAAACUGGCAGUCUUGAGUACAGUAGAGGUGGGCGGAAUUCGUGGUGUAGCGGUGAAAUGCUUAGAUAUCACGAAGAACUCCGAUUGCGAAGGCAGUUCACUGGACUGCAACUGACACUGAGGCUCGAAAGUGUGGGUAUCAAACAGGAUUAGAUACCCCUGUAGUC
This 460-nucleotide ribosomal RNA is filed under the name uncultured bacterium. RNAcentral's name for it is "partial 16S ribosomal RNA". It matches the Rfam family "Bacterial small subunit ribosomal RNA", at positions 338 to 795 of the family's 1533-position model. The record is from RNAcentral.